CCUACGGGUGGCAGCAGUGGGGAAUAUUGGGCAAUGGGCGCAAGCCUGACCCAGCAACGCCGCGUGAAGGAAGAAGGCUUUCGGGUUGUAAACUUCUUUUAAGAGGGAAGAGCAGAAGACGGUACCUCUUGAAUAAGCCACGGCUAACUACGUGCCAGCAGCCGCGGUAAUACGUAGGUGGCAAGCGUUGUCCGGAUUUACUGGGGGGAAAGGGCGUGUAGCCGGGCUGACAAGUCAGAUGUGAAAUCCCGUGGCUCAACCACGGAACUGCAUUUGAAACUGUCGGUCUUGAGUCUCGGAGAGGCAGGCGGAAUUCCUAGUGUAGCGGUGAAAUGCGUAGAUAUUAGGAGGAACACCAGUGGCGAAGGCGGCCUGCUGGACGACAACUGGCGGUGAGGCGCGAAAGCGUGGGGAGCAAACAGGAUUAGAUACCCCUGUAGUC
Molecule: ribosomal RNA, 442 nt
Filed under: uncultured bacterium
Lineage: Bacteria
Description: partial 16S ribosomal RNA
Rfam family: Bacterial small subunit ribosomal RNA
Source: RNAcentral